RNAcentral lists this ribosomal RNA (460 nucleotides) under uncultured bacterium. Its description in RNAcentral is "partial 16S ribosomal RNA". It matches the Rfam family "Bacterial small subunit ribosomal RNA", at positions 338 to 795 of the family's 1533-position model. The record is from RNAcentral.
CCUACGGGCGGCAGCAGUGAGGAAUAUUGGUCAAUGGGCGCGAGCCUGAACCAGCCAAGUCGCGUGAGGGAUGACGGUCCUACGGAUUGUAAACCUCUUUUGCCGGGGAGCAAGCGUGCGUUCGUGAACGCGCGUCGAGAGUACCCGGAGAAAAAGCAUCGGCGAACUCCGUGCCAGCAGCCGCGGUAAUACGGAGGAUGCGAGCGUUAUCCGGAUUUAGGGGGUUUAAAGGGUGCGUAGGCGGGAUGCCAAGUCAGCGGUAAGCAUGCGGUGCUCAACGCCGUCGAGCCGUUGAAACUGGCGUUGUGCAGUGGGCGAGCAGUAGGCGGAAUGCGUGGUGUAGCGGUGAAAUGCAGAGAUAUCACGCAGAACUCCGAUUGCGAAGGCAGCAUACCGGCGCCCUACUGACGCUGAGGCACGCAAGCGUGGGUAUCGAACAGGAUUAGAUACCCUGGUAGUC